GGCGGCGUGCUUAACACAUGCAAGUCGAACGAUGAAGCCCUUCGGGGUGGAUUAGUGGCGAACGGGUGAGUAACACGUGGGCAAUCUGCCCUGCACUCUGGGACAAGCCCUGGAAACGGGGUCUAAUACCGGAUAUGACCAUCUUGGGCAUCCUUGAUGGUGUAAAGCUCCGGCGGUGCAGGAUGAGCCCGCGGCCUAUCAGCUUGUUGGUGAGGUAAUGGCUCACCAAGGCGACGACGGGUAGCCGGCCUGAGAGGGCGACCGGCCACACUGGGACUGAGACACGGCCCAGACUCCUACGGGAGGCAGCAGUGGGGAAUAUUGCACAAUGGGCGAAAGCCUGAUGCAGCGACGCCGCGUGAGGGAUGACGGCCUUCGGGUUGUAAACCUCUUUCAGCAGGGAAGAAGCGAAAGUGACGGUACCUGCAGAAGAAGCGCCGGCUAACUACGUGCCAGCAGCCGCGGUAAUACGUAGGGCGCAAGCGUUGUCCGGAAUUAUUGGGCGUAAAGAGCUCGUAGGCGGCUUGUCACGUCGAUUGUGAAAGCUCGGGGCUUAACCCCGAGUCUGCAGUCGAUACGGGCUAGCUAGAGUGUGGUAGGGGAGAUCGGAAUUCCUGGUGUAGCGGUGAAAUGCGCAGAUAUCAGGAGGAACACCGGUGGCGAAGGCGGAUCUCUGGGCCAUUACUGACGCUGAGGAGCGAAAGCGUGGGGAGCGAACAGGAUUAGAUACCCUGGUAGUCCACGCCGUAAACGGUGGGAACUAGGUGUUGGCGACAUUCCACGUCGUCGGUGCCGCAGCUAACGCAUUAAGUUCCCCGCCUGGGGAGUACGGCCGC
Molecule: ribosomal RNA, 836 nt
Filed under: Streptomyces sp. IM-7353
Lineage: Bacteria; Bacillati; Actinomycetota; Actinomycetes; Kitasatosporales; Streptomycetaceae
Description: bacterial SSU rRNA
Rfam family: Bacterial small subunit ribosomal RNA
Source: RNAcentral